Long non-coding RNA from Gopherus evgoodei (Goodes thornscrub tortoise), 3640 nucleotides. RefSeq lists it as uncharacterized. The record is from RefSeq and is a predicted model, not a curated record. Lineage: Eukaryota; Metazoa; Chordata; Testudines; Testudinidae. The transcript has 3 exons.
GGAGUUUGAAAUACCAGGAGCAGAGGACAAGGAAGCUGCCUCCGGGAUGACGCGACCCGCUGGCAUUAGCAGGCGAGAGAGAACUCAGGAUGUCUGCCAGUGACAUCCAAGAAUUCUGGAAAGCAGCCUCCAGAGGAAGGUCUCAUUGUCUGGGCUUUGGCCCUGGACCAAAUGAAAGGGGCUGCCCUGCCUCGCUCUGACUGGAUAUGCUGCAAGAAGGAAACCAGAAAGACACUGCAGUGGGCAUAUCCUGCUCUUGCCUCCCCUUCUUGAUCCCAGAGGGAUCCAGCCCACAAAACUGGAACAAUUAUUCUGCGCAGACAAGAGCAAGCCCUAUGCACCAUGGAGAUCAGCUUGCAUUGCGGGAAAUGCAGAGUGAUGCAUGGGCCGCAGAGAUAGCGGAUUCACUGCUAAAUGGACCAACCCCAGGAAGAGGCCAGAGUCUCCUGAACACACUUAGACGAAUGAUCCUUACUCUUUGAACCACCCCACAGAAGAAGUCAAUGGGACUCCUCAAGUAGAUAAGGAUUCCAGGGUGGAGCGUGUCCACAAGACCUGCAAAGCAACUUUGUCCAUUUGCUUGUCCGAUUUCAACACAGCUGGGUUCUACGUCCUGCUGAGAUGGGCAGAAGUUCCAUGUGACGACCCUACCCCAGGAUUAUGGUGUCUCAUGCAGGAGGCGAGAACUACAAAAACCCUGUACAACCGGCAGCUUUAUAACAACUGAAAAAGUAGCACUAGGAAGUGGAAGUCAUUCUGAGAUAUCUAAGAAGGGGUCCAUGCCCUGCAAAGGGAUUGCGAUUGUGAAAUCUCCCAUCGCUGGAGGUUUUUAAGAGCAGGUUAGACAAACACCUGUCAGGGAUGGUCUAGAUAAUACUUAGUCCUGCCGUGAGUGCAGGGGACUGGACUACAGCAGUGGUCUCCAAAGUGGGGUGCACGCAAGAGGAUUCUUUGGGGUGCACGGCAGGAGGAGCGCCGCCGGAGCAGUGCCGCUUUUUAUUUUUUUCCCCGUUCCGCAGUUCGGCCAGGAGUCCAAGCGCACUUUUUUUUUAAAUUUUUAUUUUGCUUCGACUAUUCGGCCAGGAGCAGUGGGCGUGUACUUAAAAGUUUUUUACUGAUUGGAUGCAUGAUCAAAAAAGUUUGGAGACCACUGGACUAAAGGACCUCUUGACGUCCCUUCCAGUCCUACGAUUUCAACAGCAAGACCAGUUUAUGUAUCUGAUUUUUGGAAACCCUGGUUGCGUAAGCAUAUCGCAAAAGCGGCACCAACCCAAAUCCAAGCACAGUGUAGACUCUACACCCAGCACCCCCAGGCUGCAACAUUAGCAAUGUGAAAUCAGUCAAAGCAAAGCUGCCCUUUGGAAUUUUUUUCGUCUGGAAGAGGAAAAUCAAGGUGUCUCCGCACUGUGCAUAGAACAAAGGCACUGAAAGUAAACGUAUGCUUUCUAACUGUGUCGCUUGGGACCAGCUGCAGUUGUCUAGCUCCUGAAUUCAGGACAGCUGUGCCAGGGCUAAGAUAGGUGGUUGUCUGCUAGCCUUUACAUCAGGGGUAGGCCACCUACCAAAGACCCAUCUAGUCCAGUAUCUCUCUCUCUGACAGCAGCCCAUACCAAAUCCUUCCAAGGAAGGUGCAAGAAACACCAGUAAGGACAAAUGAUUAUUCCUGGUUUGUAUGUCAAUCAAGACUAGAAUAGACCAGACCUCUGGGGAAAGUUUCCUGGAAUGAAACCUAGUCUACACAGAAAUUGCACCCUUUUAACUACAUCAGGUUCCAAAUAGAUGUAGUAAAAUUAGUUCAACCUGCUUGUGUGGAUACUACUAAAUGGGUUUAAGAUGCCCCAGGAUCAAUUAGCUCAAACUGGAGCCACUUAAUCUUUGUGCUUUUAGCUUAAGAUAAAAAUCAGCAUCUGUCCCUCAAGAGUAUCCACACUGUUCUGCACCGAAUCAGAAAUUGGAUUUAGAUCAAUCAGUACAAUGUGUGUAUGCAGACAUGCCCGAACACAGGAUAGUUAAAAGGGACUGGUAAUGAGAUAUACAGCCUUUCACUCCUACCUUGCCUGUUCAAAUGUAGGCACGGUUUGCACUGACCUCAAGUUGUCACCACCUGAUGGGGCGCUAAAGUGGCUUUCUCCAAUAUGAUUUUGAUGGCUCUCAGUCCAGUUCACAGCGGACAGGUGUCCACAUCGUAUGAGAAGUGACACUAAUUGGUGCCGCCGUGGGCACUCGGAAGCCAAGUUCUGAAAAAAAGGAUGGCGAAUUAACUCUCCCCUCUCUCUUUCUGAGAUUGUCCCCUUUGGGACAUAGGGAAAGUAUGUGGUGGAGCUGACUGCAUCACUGGCACUCAUGUUGUCCUUGAUUAUUGAAAAAUAAGGCACUUGCACAGGGAAAGCAAUAUUAGCUGUCACCCAAGCAAAAGGGUAGAUUAACCUCCAGAGCGCUUACAAAUAUUGUAAAAAUCAAAAUUCAUGUCACAGCUGCACCCAGACGCCCCAACUGAAAUCCAGGACCCCUUGUGCUGGGUGUUCUAAGAGAUGUAGCAAGAGACAGUCUGUGUUCAGAAGAGUUUACAUGAUGAAUAGACAAGACAAAUCAUUAUCCAUAUGUUGCAGGUGGGGAACUGAGGAUACGUCUACACUGGAGUGGGAGGCGUAAUUUCCAACUUGGGUAGAUGCACCUGAGUUAGCUCUGAUCUAGCUAACAUGCUAAAAUAUAGCAGUGUAGCCACGGUGGUGCAGAUGACAAGCCAGGGUAGAUGUCCUGAUACAAUCCCAUCCAAAACCCUAGGUGUGUACUUCAGGCACUCGCCAAUGGUGCCACAGCUCUAGUGCUAAUUUUUAGCACAUUAGCUAAAUGAGAGCUAGUACCGGAAAUGACAUCUCCAGUGUAAACAUACCACGAGGCAUCAAGAGGAUUUCCAUAAGCGUCACAUCAGGAGUUGGUUGCUGAGCCACAGACUGAACCCAAAUCUUACAAGUUCAAGUCCAGAGCCUUAUCCAUAAUACCAUCUUUAUCAGCUAGAUACUAUUCCGUAAUAAAUCUAUUGCCAAGCACCAUGGGAAAAAAACCCAGCUGAAAGAUACGCAGGGGCAAAUUCUGCUCUCAUUUACAAUGGUGCAAAUUGACUGAUGUCACUGGGGUUGCACUGGCAAGACAGAGCUGAAUUAGGCCUGCAGGCACCUCCAAAAAUAAUAGGAGGUGAGAAAGGCACAAUGGAAACACACGGCUUUUAAAGAGUAUACAUAAAAUAUUUAAAAAUAGAUAAAUUAUAUAUAAGUGUAUACAAUGCCCAGAGAUACCUCGAUUUAUAUGAUAGGGUUUCUGUAGAGCUGUUGAGCUCCAGGCAACAGAAAUGAGAAGUCAAGCUGAACUGCAAUACUGUAUCCCAGAGACGGUGACAUCUUAUAACAGAGAACAGAGCUACCCCCCCGGGGCACUGUGUAAAAAUUAUGACAUAGCAGCAAAACAACGUAAGUUAAUUUCACUGAAAUUAACAACAGUUUCCUUCCCUUGAGUGCAUGGUGAGGUAGAAUCCAAUUCAGAAGGUGAGGAAUGUUUAGAGAGUCGAGGCCUUUGGUUGACUCAAUCGUAGUCAACGUUUCUGAAUUUUUCUGUGUCUUUUAAAUAAAGGGACACAUCAAGA